RNAcentral lists this ribosomal RNA (517 nucleotides) under uncultured bacterium. RNAcentral's name for it is "bacterial SSU rRNA". It matches the Rfam family "Bacterial small subunit ribosomal RNA", at positions 992 to 1509 of the family's 1533-position model. The record is from RNAcentral.
AGAACUUAGCAGAGAUGCUUUGGUGCCUUCGGGAACUCUGAGACAGGUGCUGCAUGGCUGUCGUCAGCUCGUGUUGUGAAAUGUUGGGUUAAGUCCCGCAACGAGCGCAACCCUUAUCCUUUGUUGCCAGCGGUUAGGCCGGGAACUCAAAGGAGACUGCCAGUGAUAAACUGGAGGAAGGUGGGGAUGACGUCAAGUCAUCAUGGCCCUUACGAGUAGGGCUACACACGUGCUACAAUGGCGCAUACAAAGAGAAGCGACCUCGCGAGAGCAAGCGGACCUCAUAAAGUGCGUCGUAGUCCGGAUUGGAGUCUGCAACUCGACUCCAUGAAGUCGGAAUCGCUAGUAAUCGUGGAUCAGAAUGCCACGGUGAAUACGUUCCCGGGCCUUGUACACACCGCCCGUCACACCAUGGGAGUGGGUUGCAAAAGAAGUAGGUAGCUUAACCUUCGGGAGGGCGCUUACCACUUUGUGAUUCAUGACUAGGGUGAAGUCGUAACAAGGUAAGCGUAGUGCU